RNAcentral lists this ribosomal RNA (229 nucleotides) under uncultured bacterium. RNAcentral describes it as "partial 16S ribosomal RNA". It matches the Rfam family "Bacterial small subunit ribosomal RNA", at positions 568 to 796 of the family's 1533-position model. The record is from RNAcentral.
UGCGUAGGCGGCUUGAUAAGUCAGUGGUGAAAGCCCAGAGCUCAACUUUGGAAUUGCCAUUGAUACUGUCAAGCUUGAGUAUAGUUGAAGUAGGCGGAAUGUAGCAUGUAGCGGUGAAAUGCUUAGAUAAGCUACAGAACACCGAUUGCGAAGGCAGCUUACUAAACUAUUACUGACGCUGAGGCACGAAAGCGUGGGGAGCGAACAGGAUUAGAUACCCUGGUAGUCC